This is a long non-coding RNA of Erpetoichthys calabaricus (reedfish), 249 nucleotides long. RefSeq lists it as uncharacterized. The record is from RefSeq and is a predicted model, not a curated record. The transcript is spliced from 2 exons. Lineage: Eukaryota; Metazoa; Chordata; Cladistia; Polypteriformes; Polypteridae.
GCCAAAUAAUGUUUAUAUUUUUUAUCAUCACAUGGUAACGAUGAAUUAUAUAGAUAUGAGAUGGUAUUAAAUUCACCUGAUACAAUGUGCACAUAAUUUGUAAUUUAAGGCAAAUUAAAUCAGCCUAUUUAUUCAAGAUGUAAUAAUGAUUUAUAAUAUGCCAUAAGGAAAAUGGGGAAUAAGACUGCUAUAUAGAAUAGUUGAGAAAUUAAUGGUACAAUAAUGAAAUCCAUACACUGUAUUAUUGAC